GAACAUGUAGGGAAUUUGUAUUAUUAAGUUUACAGAGAGCAUCUGAAUUUUUUCAGCAUCUAGAUCAGAACCAAACUAGAUAACAGACAUACAAUAAGGCAGGUGGUGAAAAAGAUAAAGCAAAGACACUUGGAAAAGACAAAUUUAAGUACGAGGAGCUCUAGAUGCUUAACCGAAAAAUAACGGAGAUAUUGCAGGUUUAAAUAGUAGCUAGGAAAAAAACUCACAUCUCUGUCGAAAGCCGAAACUCCAGCAUUGGGUUGCAGCCACACUCAGUCUCGUUCUGAAAUCAGACUGAAUUUGCGGUAGGUGUAAGACAGGACAGCAGCCUCAUCCAAUUAUAUUCACCUAUAAAGUCAUACUAAGUUUCUGUCUAUAAAUGAGAAAAAAGAAAGUAUUAUUGAUCUUUAGAAAAGCAUAAUGUUAAAGAUUGAGAAGUCAAUCAAGAAGAUUUGAAUUGAUUGUAUAA
RNAcentral lists this long non-coding RNA (469 nucleotides) under Citrus sinensis (sweet orange). RNAcentral's name for it is "long non-coding RNA (CSIN_LNC004781)". The record is from RNAcentral. Lineage: Eukaryota; Viridiplantae; Streptophyta; Magnoliopsida; Sapindales; Rutaceae.